GUAGCCUGCUGCAGUGAUCAGGGAGUCACUGUUACACAGAAGAAAGUGGGGCUUUCAGCUCCUGAGACAUCCACAAUGGGAGAGUCCCUGCCUGCAGAGAGCCCCCGAGUACCAAUCCUUCAUGCUUCACAGACCAACCAGGAACACUGAUCUCCUAAUGAGGACACCACUAACAGCAGAGCCGCCACAACUGGACAGCUCCUGGUUCAUCACUACACGAUGCAGGAAGUCAUAAAAUGAAGCAAAUAUUUUUUCACUAAUGAGCCAAAACCCAGUCUGGAAUAAUACAGGAACAAGCGCAAAACUUGUACAGUUGCUCGAGAACAGCAUGUUAUUUUUCAAUUUAAUGAGUCAUACAGGAACCAGCAUCUGAUUUCUACCAAGCCUAAGCUGGUCUGUUUUCUACUGCACGUUUUACACAGCACAGAGGGGUACAGGAACCUGGGAGGAAAGCAGCCCACUUCCUGACGAGUGCGAGACAGGAACACACAGAGAACCGUCUCCGCGAGUGCCAGCCAGCAGAGGCAAAUCCAGCUUUAAAACAAGCCCAGAAAAAAAAUAUUGAUUUGGGAAUUGCAAAUGAGACGUGCACAAUUAGGAAGAACAUAAAUCUCUGAUUAAUUAUGGCAAGAAAAUCAGGAUGUACAAAUGAAAAUGUGGAGACACGCUGCCUAAUCAAUGUCAUCGAGAUUUUCACACCCUUCCUUGUCUGGAAACAGCUUUAUCCACUACCGAGAAACCCGUUUUGAAAAAACCCUAAAUCCUAAAAGAGAUCAGGAAGAUGAGACAACUCAAUCUAGAGUGAGUGGUUAUUCUUAUGAACAAGACUCGCUGCUAGAAGUAAUAAUAAUAAUUGCUUUCACUUAUAUAGCGCUUUUCUGGACACUCCACUCA
This is a non-coding RNA of Lepisosteus oculatus (spotted gar), 894 nucleotides long. NCBI's taxonomy places the organism in Eukaryota, Metazoa, Chordata, Actinopteri, Semionotiformes, Lepisosteidae. The record is from RefSeq and is a predicted model, not a curated record.